UGCAAGAAGUACGUAAAAGAGCCGCUGCAACAGCUAUCAGCCAACAGUUCUUUUCCGCACAGAAGUGUUACGGGUCGCAAAGAAGACUACGCAACAUUGCAGCUGGUGGUGCUAGUUUGCCUAGGGUCGGAUUUAGGCGGACGCGUUUCGUUAGCUACACAGUGUUCCAUGACCGAUUAAUAAGCUGCGCGUAGUACGCGAACAGUCUGACGGCAAGCCUCUACGUAGGUUGACUUGUAACAAAGUGAAAAGCCAUUUCUUGUGCGAGCACACGAGUCUCUGGCUAGUUGUUUUCAGAUAGGAACCAGCAGCCAGGUUCGCCUAAUCCGAAUGCAACAGCGGCAGCUGUUGUUAAGUUCCGAAGAACUGUGGUAAUGGUGAAAGUAAGAGAGAUUUAUUCCCAACCACCGAGCCUAUCUCUGCUGGUACUGCUUUCUAAUGGCGAAGUUGUGCCUAGUUAUUAUGAACACGUGCCAAAGCAGGAGUAGGCACACAGCAAAGCAAAAUAUACUUCUACGGUUGCUGCAAUGAAGUUUUUCGCUUUCAUUUCUCACUUCGUUUCUGAUACUUUACGCGACCCAACACUUCGUGCCCUUAUUGGUGACGGUCUUUCCUAAUCUUUCCCACUGUGGCCUACUCAGAACUGUGUACGAGCAAGUAAAUGGGGAGAAGAGUGUGCCCAAUAGCGAAACGCAAAAAAGGCACAAGAGGCUAACUUCUCUACCUAAAGCUAACUGCUUAGGGGAUCUUGCUUCUUGCUUUGAAGAAGAUACGCUUGCUGACUGACCGUUGGCAGUUCAAACUGGAAAAAGCACCGUUCGGAGCACAUGAAGAAAAAACAGAGCCAAGGCAGGGCACUAAAGUGAUUUGUGGCGAUGACAAGCCCUAUAUUGUCGUGCGGGUAAUGCAUGACGCAGCGAUGUUGACGCUGAUGGUGUUUUAGAGUACAUAGGGGAAUGGCGUGGAAUUUCAAAGAGAUGGUGAGUGGCCACUUCUGCCUUACCGAAUGAGUAAUGACGUAGCCAGUCUUCCUUAGCACAUCGAAACUUUUGGUCAACACCCUUGUCUCCCACAAGCCUCAGGAGCCGCGCCACGGUUGCCCUCAGCAGCGCGCCCUACCGACCCACAAUAGAAAAAUGGGGCAAUACACACAACAUUGGUUCUGACAGUGGGGCAGCGAUCCUGCGACCAAGUCGAAAUUGUGCGUUCUCACCGAACGACGAAGGCAGGGAAGUCGUCAAGGGCGGGCAAAGAACAGAAACUGGAAGAAUGCUAGGUUGAUGGGGCAAUGGCGAAGCGGAGAAAAAACCGAAGGACAAACGUUAACACGACGAAAAUAAGAGGACAUUGGUCACUGGCCACAGAUGCACCUAGCGACGAAGUCUGCCGCUGUCAUGAUGCUUGACGGUGGAAGACCGGCGCUAGACAUAUGUCCGACUCCUGAUUGAAUGUUUGCACAAUGUCACUACACACUCAGCUUUUUGCUGUGCACCACGUACAUACAGCGAUUCCGCUUUUCCCUUCCCACGUCACAGACGCUAACGCAUUGAAAACUGAAAACGACGACAACGAUCACGUUUUUUUCCAGCAUUUGCCUGCCAAACAAUGGACAGAUAAAAAGAAAACAAGUGGGAGACGACGAUCUGGAUUUGAGGUCUUUGAAAAAAAAACAUGGAGAAUGUGCAAGAAAUGGAAAUUACAGAUCGAUAGUAAAUCAAAGUGAUAAAAAUCGAUGAAAUCAUCAUAGAAAGAUGCCUUUAUCUAGAUAAAGAAAUACUUCGACGAAAAUCAUUGGCCGACGUACAAUAAAUUGUCAUAGUAUUAAAUUCUUUGGAGACUAAUAAAGGCGCCC
Varroa destructor (honeybee mite) is the source of this 1852-nucleotide long non-coding RNA. The record is from RefSeq and is a predicted model, not a curated record. Lineage: Eukaryota; Metazoa; Arthropoda; Arachnida; Mesostigmata; Varroidae.